This is a long non-coding RNA of Oryzias melastigma (Indian medaka), 1911 nucleotides long. RefSeq lists it as uncharacterized. Lineage: Eukaryota; Metazoa; Chordata; Actinopteri; Beloniformes; Adrianichthyidae. The transcript is spliced from 3 exons. The record is from RefSeq and is a predicted model, not a curated record.
GCGGAGCUACAAGGGGGCAGGAGGGGGGCUUGCUACCCCUUUCAAAAAUCUUUUUUCCCUAAUUUUUGUGCCAGUAUCAUCAUUGAGAAUUCAUCAAUACACGGUUCUUGAAGCUUUGCAAAAUUUUAAUUGAAUUUAAGAUAACAAUUAAAUAUAACAUGUUAUAUAUAUAAAAUGUUCUAGCUCCCAGCAUUGGUAGUCGACGGUGAAAACCUGCUUUUCAGCACAAGACCACCCACACUCUGCUUGGUACAUCGACGUUUAUCUCAAAUAUCUCCUUAACUUAUCCCCCUAUAAUUUUCCAUCUCGGUAUUAUCACAAUUACGCCGUGUGCCAGGAGGGGAGGGAACUCCCCGCGGCUCGUGACUGCCUGUGUGCCACCAGCGGGUUUGCGGUCUGCUUGGAUUUGUGAAACACUGACAGACAACCCCUUCAUCAGGCCUGUCAAACAAGGAUGACAAAUGUGUCUCCACAUCCCCAACAUGCCUACAAUAUUUAAAACCAUGGGAGAAUGGCAAAGCCGACAAAGAAUAGCCCCUCCUGGCAGGCACAAAGUUCAAGCUGUGUCAGCCUGUAUCAGUCUCAAAUUCUGAGGAGAGACUCUGAGCUGAACUUGAUGGCAUGUUGACUUAAUGAUUCUGGCAGAGCAGAUAUGGUGUCUGUCUAGUGUUUCUACAAGGCAGUGAAGUCAAGUCAAAACACAUUCACUGAAAUGACUUUAAAAGGGAUGCGACUCCGAUUAAAUAUAGAUAUCAUUAUGUAACAUUUAAAACAAAUCUAUCCAGAAGGUGAUUUUUUUUUCUCUGUUUUAGUUAACAACAAAAGUCAGUUUCAGUUCAUUUGUACUGAUCACUCAGAAUACACACACAUUUUCCCGUCCUCACACAUCUUUGAUCGCUAUCACCAAAAACAAUAGCUGGGAGAUACAGUCUGGCUAUCAGGCAAUCAAACAAACAGUCAUUUUUCUUUCCAGCUGCAACCAAGCAUGUAACUAUAUUACUUUGCCCGGUGCUCGGAGCCUUGUCAAAAAAUGACAGAAGAUCGCACCUUUUUUUCCCAGGGUGAGUGCUUUAAUUACAGCAUGGCUUCUAGCCUUACCGAACCAGUACAAGUGUCAGUCCAAAGUUCAUCGUUCUUUGUGAAAGAGGAUUCCACAAAAAAAAAAAAAAAAAAAAAGAUCUCAUUGUUAGGCGGCGGAACAUUGUUGAACAGAAUUCUGCAGGUUUUUUAGGUCAUCCUCAGUGUCCCCUCCUUCUUUUUUUCUGAUGUUCCUAUCACGUUUCUGUAAAACUCCAUAACAUCAAUGCUUUGAUACCCAAUAUUUUAAUUGCCGCGGUCAUACAUCUCGCUGUCCUUCGCAAACAAUAAAUGAGUCUGGAAAGCAAAAGGGAAAUGGUUAGGAUGGAGUCAUUCACUGCGUGCAGGUUCACCUCUGACGAGCGGACCUGAGACAUCGUCAUGGUAAUGGACCGCUGUAACGUCUGAACUGAAUCACCUGGACCGUUCCGUAAAUGGUGGAAGAGUUAAAAGAGGCUGAUGUCACUGCUACCAAGGGUUACGACUGCCUCUCAGCUUCCAGUCUGUCACAGUGAAGGGGCAUAAUGGGCCUGAGAAGAUCAACCCAUCUAAAGAGGGAUUUGGAACCUUUCACCCCCGGAGAAAUCCAGGAUGAGGGAAGCAUAAAUGUGCACAAGUGCACAUUUUCGAGAGGUGUUAAUACCACCUGCUCUUGCCUGGAAAAUGUCAUCAAAGCGUAAAAGGAAAGAAUAGAUUUUGUAAUUUAAAACUCUAAUAUAAAUACACAGGAAUUUACUUAUAUCAAGUCCAGAGUCAACCGUAGGAAAGAAGCUUCUUAUUAGAUUACUUUUAACAAGCGUUUUAUUGAGUAUUUUGUCAGUCAGAUGGGUCAUA